UACUAUCCGAUCUUCCAAGUUAGGUCCGGUUAUUAAUGUAGUUACCUAUAUUAGGUGCCGUUUGAUUUCCGUGAUCCCUCUAGCUUUGCUUGGUUGUUGUUCAAGACUUCUAAGCACCCUCAACAUAUGGACACGUACAAUAGUUGAUGAUAUUUGAUGAUGAUAUUGGUGUAUGCUCACAUAGGAAUGGACGAGGCCUUAGUGACUUAAUAA
This 213-nucleotide long non-coding RNA is filed under the name Helianthus annuus (common sunflower). RNAcentral's name for it is "sRNA HanXRQr2_Chr04g0162871". Lineage: Eukaryota; Viridiplantae; Streptophyta; Magnoliopsida; Asterales; Asteraceae. The record is from RNAcentral.